RNAcentral lists this ribosomal RNA (485 nucleotides) under uncultured bacterium. RNAcentral describes it as "bacterial SSU rRNA". It matches the Rfam family "Bacterial small subunit ribosomal RNA", at positions 839 to 1322 of the family's 1533-position model. The record is from RNAcentral.
UUCUGUGCCGGAGUUAACGCAAUAAGUACCCCGCCUGGGGAGUACGACCGCAAGGUUGAAACUCAAAGGAAUUGACGGGGGCCCGCACAAGCGGUGGAGUAUGUGGUUUAAUUCGACGCAACGCGAAGAACCUUACCAGGUCUUGACAUUGAUGGACAGAACCAGAGAUGGUUCCUCUUCUUCGGAAGCCAGAAAACAGGUGGUGCACGGUUGUCGUCAGCUCGUGUCGUGAGAUGUUGGGUUAAGUCCCGCAACGAGCGCAACCCCUAUCUUAUGUUGCCAGCACGUAAAGGUGGGAACUCAUGAGAGACUGCCGCAGACAAUGCGGAGGAAGGCGGGGAUGACGUCAAAUCAUCAUGCCCCUUAUGACCUGGGCUACACACGUACUACAAUGGGAGUUAAUAGACGGAAGCGAGAUCGCGAGAUGGAGCAAACCCGAGAAACACUCUCUCAGUUCGGAUCGUAGGCUGCAACUCGCCUACGUG